AGUUUGAUCCUGGCUCAGAUUGAACGCUGGCGGGAUGCUUUACACAUGCAAGUCGAACGGGCAGCACGGACUUCUGGUCUGGUGGCGAGUGGCGAACGGGUGAGUAAUGUAUCGGAACGUGCCUAGUAGCGGGGGAUAACUACGCGAAAAGCGUAGCUAAUACUGUACACGCCCUUCGGGGGAAAGCGGGGGGACCUUCGCCUCGCACUAUUAGAGCGGCCGAUAUCGGAUUAGCUAGCUGGUGGGGUAACGCUCACUCAAGGCGACGAUCCGUAGCUGGUUUGAGAGUGACGACCAGCCACACUGGGACUGAGACACGGCCCAGACUCCUACGGAGGCAGUGGGGAAUUUUGGACAAUGGGAAACUCUGAUCCAGCCAUCCCGCGGCAGGUGAUGAAGGCCUUCGGGUUGUAAAGCACUUUUGGCAGGAAGAAAACGGCACGGAGCACAAUUCCCGUGCAACUGACGGUACCUGCAGAAUAAGCACCGCUGCCAAUUGAUGCGCGCCAGCAGCCGCGGUAAUACGUAGGUGCAAGCGUUAAUCGGAAUUACUGGGCGUAAAGCGUGCGCAGGCGGUUCGGAAAGAUGCGAGAAAUCCCAGAGCUUAACUUUGGAACUGCAUUUUUAACUACCGAGCUAGAGUGUGUCAGAGGGAGGUGGAAUUCCGCGUGUAGCAGUGAAUGCGUAGAUAUGCGGAGGAACACCGAUGGCGAAGGCAGCCUCCUGGGAUAACACUGACGCUCAUGCACGAAAGCGUGGGGAGCAAACAGGAUUAGAUACUCCUGGUAGUCCACGCUCCUAAACGAUGUCAACUAGCUGUUGGGGCCUUCGGGCCUUGGUAGCGCAGCUAACGCAGAAGUUGACCGCCUGGGGAGUACGGUCGCAAGAUUAAAACUCAAAGGAAUUGACGGGGACCCGCACAAGCGGUGGGAUAUGGAUUAAUCUGAUGCAACGCGAAAACCUACCUACCCUUGACAUGUCUGGAAUCCCGAAGAGAUUUGGGAGUGCUCGCAAGAGAACCGGAACACAGGUGUUGCAUGGCUGUCGUCAGCUCGUGUCGAGAUGUUGGGUUAAGUCCCGCAACGAGCGCAACCCCUGUCAUUAGUUGGGCAUGAAAGGGCACUCUGACGAGACUGCCGGUGACAAACCGAGGAAGGUGGGGAUGACGCCAAGUCCUCAUGGCCCUUAUGGGUAGGGCUUCACACGUCAUACAAUGGUCGGGGACAGAGGGUCGCCAACCCGCGAGGGGGAGCCAAUCCCAGAAACCCGAUCGUAGUCCGAUCGCAGUCUGCAACUCGACUGCGUGAAGUCAAAUCGCUAGUAAUCGCGGAUCAGCAUGUCGCGGUGAAUACGUUCCCGGGUCUUGUACACACCGCCCGUCACACCAUGGGAGGGGUUUUACCAGAAGUAGUUAGCCUAACCGUAAGGAGGGCGAUUACCACGGUAGGAUUCAUGACUGGGGUGAAGUCGUAACAAGGUGCACCUCCAAAUAUUACCUGAUGCUCCUAGGAGU
RNAcentral lists this ribosomal RNA (1513 nucleotides) under uncultured Bordetella sp. RNAcentral's name for it is "partial 16S-23S ribosomal RNA intergenic spacer". It matches the Rfam family "Bacterial small subunit ribosomal RNA". The record is from RNAcentral. Lineage: Bacteria; Pseudomonadati; Pseudomonadota; Betaproteobacteria; Burkholderiales; Alcaligenaceae.